CCUACGGGGGGCUGCAGUGGGGAAUAUUGGACAAUGGGCGAAAGCCUGAUCCAGCCAUGCCGCGUGUGUGAAGAAGGCCUUCGGGUUGUAAAGCACUUUCAGUGGGGAAGAAAGCCUUGGGGCUAAUACCCUCGAGGAAGGACAUCACCCACAGAAGAAGCACCGGCUAACUCCGUGCCAGCAGCCGCGGUAAUACGGAGGGUGCGAGCGUUAAUCGGAAUUACUGGGCGUAAAGCGCGCGUAGGCGGUCUGAUAAGCCGGUUGUGAAAGCCCCGGGCUCAACCUGGGAACGGCAUCCGGAACUGUCAGGCUAGAGUGCAGGAGAGGAAGGUAGAAUUCCCGGGGUAGCGGUGAAAUGCGUAGAGAUCGGGAGGAAUACCAGUGGCGAAGGCGGCCUUCGGGACUGAAACUGACGCUGAGGUGCGAAAGCGUGGGUAGCAAACAGGAUUAAUACCCGAGUAGUC
This 464-nucleotide ribosomal RNA is filed under the name Vreelandella stevensii. RNAcentral describes it as "partial 16S ribosomal RNA". It matches the Rfam family "Bacterial small subunit ribosomal RNA", at positions 338 to 795 of the family's 1533-position model. Lineage: Bacteria; Pseudomonadati; Pseudomonadota; Gammaproteobacteria; Oceanospirillales; Halomonadaceae. The record is from RNAcentral.